Molecule: ribosomal RNA, 648 nt
Filed under: Triticum aestivum (bread wheat)
Lineage: Eukaryota; Viridiplantae; Streptophyta; Magnoliopsida; Poales; Poaceae
Description: partial small subunit ribosomal RNA
Source: RNAcentral
AUGGCGCGGUACUUUGAUGAUGAGAAACCUCCAACUUCAGAUGCAGGUACGGAGAACAACGUUGGGAUUGGGCUAGUGAGGAUGAAAAGGCCGGCCUAUGGCAAGAAAGAGGUGGCGCUGACAGCUGACUCCGUUGCGGUCAUGGUGGAGCUCAACGCCACAUCCUCCGCCAUGGCGAGGGAGGGGCUCGAUCUGGUGGUCGUGUUGGACAUACAGCUUAGCUGGGAGGGAGGGGAUGUCAAGUUCUCAAAGGUUAAGGAGGCGAUAGAGUUCUUAAUCAUGAAGCUCACCCCCAUGGAUCGUCUCUCCAUGGUCUUCGGAAAGGAUACCGCCGGCGUCGAGCGCCGUCUCUGCCCGCUGAGAUGCAUGACUCGAGCUGGCCAGGCCGAUCUCAAGGACCUCAUCAGCGCCAGCGGCCAGGACAACCUUUCUCUGAACCUCGAGAAGGGCUUGACUGAAGCGUUGGCCGUUAUCCGCAGCCGCAUCCACACAGAAGGCCGCUCCGCCAACAUCAUCUUCUUAACCGACGACAGAGAAGGCACUGGUGACGCUCUCUCAGUCGAUCCCGGCAAUGUCGCUGUCCACACGUUCGGCUUCGGCAAAAACGCAGGCAUUGAGCUGCUCGCCGACAUGGCCAGGAAAUCGCCG